RNAcentral lists this long non-coding RNA (1821 nucleotides) under Heterocephalus glaber (naked mole-rat). Its description in RNAcentral is "lncRNA (ENSHGLG00000045510.1)". Lineage: Eukaryota; Metazoa; Chordata; Mammalia; Rodentia; Bathyergidae. The record is from RNAcentral.
AAAAAGUUUAUUUGAAAAGUGCAGAAUAAAUGGGUAUGGGAGAAACCAGCUCUGCAGAGCAACUUGGGCCAAAGAAAAAAGAGACUAAAAGCAAAAGUGCUAUGUUCAGACAUAGCAUGGGCUACCAUGCAAACUCACACACCAUAGGGGUUUCCUCUGAUGGCUGGUCCUUUUUAUGCUGUCCACAUCUUGUGGGAGCUCCAAAGUUCUACAUAUGGAGUCCUCGAGUUGCCCUGGUAUCUUGUAUUUGACAGGCCCGCUCAUUUCCCCAGCCAGCUUUGCCACACCCUAUCUCCUAUAUCACAGAGGUAAGGGGAGGGAUGGCUUCAGUCUUCUGAGUAAGGUAGGAGGUGAGAUUAUUUGCUGCGAUUUAAAAACCACUGAUGAUCCUAGGAACUCAGGAGGCUGACGCAGCAGUAUUGCAAGCUGGAGGCCAGCCUGGAUAACUUAGGGAGACUCUGUCUAAACGUGGGGGUAGAAAGGAGCUGGGAAUGUAACAGCACUUGCCUAGCAUUUGCAAGGCACUUGGUUCUAUCCCCAGUACUUGGGGUGGAAGGCACUGAUGAGUAUUCUAGACAUCUUUAUGAGCAUUUUAUGAAAAUAAAAAAUAAGUGUUUUUGAAUUUCACUAUGUAGGCUGAUGUUCCCCAAGCAAUUGUUCUAAAAAAAAACCUGUACAACUCAAUUUUAUUUUUAAUGCUUUUCCUGAUUACAAAAGUAUGUCUACAGUAGAAAAUUUUAAAAAGAUGAAAACAUACAAGAAAUGAAAGUCAACUCUAUAAUCCACUAUCACCCCUAGUCCACAGUUAGGGGCUGGUUUUAUUUUCAUGCAGUCAAUCUCUUAUACAGCUACAAUUCUGUUUUACAACACAAAAUACAAGUAUUUUACAUACUUAAGAUUCUACACAAUUUUGUUUAUGUCUUCAAACAUAACUUGAAAGGUUUUGGGCCACCCAAGAUGUUGAGAUACCAUAACUUAUUUAGCCAUUCUACUAUUUUGGAACAUUUAGGAUGCUCCUGAUUCUUUAUUUCAUAUAUGUAUAUAUAUCAUACAUACAUAUAUUCAGAUGUAUGUAGGUAUAUAUUUAUGCAUCCUUGUGGAAAACAGUUUGCCUCUUAGUAUUUUUUUCCUUAUCAAUGACUGAGUCAGAGCACGUAUAUUUUCUAUUAGUGCAUAUUAAUUAUAUGGAGCGAGCUUCACUGUGUCAUAUUGAUACACGCAUACAUACUUCGAUCACAUACACUCCAUUACCCUCCCUUCUCUCUCUGAUCCCCUUACUCUAAAUAGUGACGUUUCUUCUUUCAAGAUUCUUGAAAGAUACAGCCAAGUUACUUUCCAGAAAAAGCGCGCUAAUUUUUACUCUUGCCCACAGCUAAGUGGCUGAGGACCCUCCCUGGCAUUUCCAAAGAAGUACAUAGGAAAGCUGCUUCUUCUGGUAAUCGGCAUCGGCAUGUUGGGACUUUGCCAUAAAACCUGAGGUCGCGUUUAAAAAAAAAAUAGCAGUCAGAAACCACCUCUCUAAAACUCUCCGUGGCAUCCAGAUCCUGGGGGUGGGGGGUGGUCAGAGGAAGAUUCAAGGUUCCUUUCAAUUAGCGAGGUUCUAGUAUUUUCACCCGGAUCGCUGGCCGAAGGUGAGGAUUUUGGGACGCGUGCUUUGAUUCGGCGGAAAUACGUGGGGAACAAGAGUAAGGCAGCCGGGGGCUGGGGCGGCCAGCGCGCGGCCCAGAAGUGGCCCCACUACGCGCGCGCGCGCGCACACACACACACACACACACACACACACACACACACACACACGCUUGCACACGCGCCCGCACCCGG